RNAcentral lists this small RNA (305 nucleotides) under Pongo abelii (Sumatran orangutan). Its description in RNAcentral is "processed transcript". The record is from RNAcentral. Lineage: Eukaryota; Metazoa; Chordata; Mammalia; Primates; Hominidae.
CCCCCAUAGGCUACGACGACUUCGUGGCCAACUGCACCAUCCAGUUUGAGGAGCUGCUGCAGAACGGGAGCCGCCACUUCGAGGACUGGAUAUUCAGGUCUGUGCUUCUGCCUGACUGAGGAUCAUCUAGGAAAUGAAACUAAACUUGGCUUUGACCUAGACCUUGUGUGACCUUGAGGUCAUCAUCCUCUCACAGUCACCCUAGAGAAUCCUUUACUUACCUAUGCUGAAAAAAAUGCUCCCAUCAGUUACCCUAUGAUUAGGUCUCCAGCCCUUUCAUCAGAAGACAGAGCUUUAAAAUGCAG